RNAcentral lists this ribosomal RNA (379 nucleotides) under uncultured eukaryote. RNAcentral's name for it is "partial 18S ribosomal RNA". It matches the Rfam family "Eukaryotic small subunit ribosomal RNA", at positions 592 to 976 of the family's 1831-position model. The record is from RNAcentral.
CAAUAGCGUAUAUUAAAGUUGUUGCAGUUAAAAAGCUCGUAGUUGAACUUCAGACCUGGCUGGGCGGUCCGCCUCACGGUGUGUACUGUCCGGCUGGGCCUUACCUCUUGGUGAGCCGGCAUGCCCUUCAUUGGGUGUGUCGGGGAACCAGGACUUUUACCUUGAGAAAAUUAGAGUGUUCAAAGCAGGCAAUCGCCCGAAUACAUUAGCAUGGAAUAAUAAAAUAGGACGUGCGGUUCUAUUUUGUUGGUUUCUAGAGUCGCCGUAAUGAUUAAUAGGGACAGUUGGGGGCAUUAGUAUUCAGUCGUCAGAGGUGAAAUUCUUGGAUUGACUGAAGACUAACUAUUGCGAAAGCAUUUGCCAAGGAUGUUUUCAUUAA